RNAcentral lists this ribosomal RNA (435 nucleotides) under Labrifer secundus. Its description in RNAcentral is "SSU rRNA". It matches the Rfam family "Eukaryotic small subunit ribosomal RNA", at positions 548 to 900 of the family's 1831-position model. Lineage: Eukaryota; Metazoa; Platyhelminthes; Trematoda; Plagiorchiida; Lepidapedidae. The record is from RNAcentral.
UGGGAGGGCCAAAUCUGGUGCCAGCAGCCGCGGUAACUCCAGCUCCAGAAGCGUAUAUUAAAGUUGUUGCAGUUAAAAAGCUCGUAGUUGGAUCUGGGUCGCAUGGCUACAUGCCGUUCUCGUUUUCGGUCCGGUCUCGAUCGGUCGAAUUUGGGUCGGUGUCGGUUGUGCAGCCUUUCUGCCGUGUCUGUUUCGGCAGGUGUUGACUGUAUCGGUGAGCUUGUCUUGCUGGUCUGUUGGCAUGCUUCCGUAUGCCUUUAAACGGGUGUCGGGGGCGGACGGCACGUUUACUUUGAACAAAUUUGAGUGCUCAAAGCAGGCCUAUGUGCCUGAAAAUUCUUGCAUGGAAUAAUGGAAUAGGACUUCGGUUCUAUUUUGUUGGUUUUCGGAUCCGAAGUAAUGGUUAAGAGGGACAGACGGGGGCAUUUGUAUGGA